CUUGACGACCAUAGAGCAUUGGAACCACCUGAUCCCAUCCCGAACUCAGUAGUGAAACGAUGUAUCGCCGA
RNAcentral lists this ribosomal RNA (71 nucleotides) under Pseudomonas syringae. Lineage: Bacteria; Pseudomonadati; Pseudomonadota; Gammaproteobacteria; Pseudomonadales; Pseudomonadaceae. The record is from RNAcentral.